This 896-nucleotide long non-coding RNA is filed under the name Equus caballus (horse). RNAcentral describes it as "lncRNA (ENSECAG00000054393.1)". The record is from RNAcentral. Lineage: Eukaryota; Metazoa; Chordata; Mammalia; Perissodactyla; Equidae.
GAAAAUAUGGCACAUUACUGACCUUGCCCUUUGUUAGUUUCUAUUUUUUCUUAUAUUGGAUUCUUGACUCUAAGACGCUGGAGCUGAAUGCUCUGCUGGGAGGAAGCACUCAUUCUCUGGCAAUGCUGACGGGAGUGGAAAACAAGCAGGAAAGCACAGCCGCCGCCUUCAUCUUGCCUUCCCAUCGCUCACUGGCAGCAUGGCUCGAUGAGCAGUGCUAGGUCCAUGCUCAAGAUCUGAACCUGUGAACCCCAGGCCACCAAAGCAGACUGCACGGACUUAACCAGCACGCCACUGGGCCAGCCCCUAGAGAUUUAUUUUUAAGGACAGGUUUUCAAUUAUAUUUUUUUAAAAUUUUUAUUCUGUUGUGGUUAGAAUACAACAUAGAUCUACUCUCUUAACAAAUGUAUAUGUAUAAAAUAAAUUAUUGUUUGUGGUAGUCUUUGAGUUUAAUUUUUUUUGCCUCUCUUUUAUAAUUUAUUGAGAUAGAUGUUUAGCUCAUUGAUUUUCAGCUAUUUUAUUUACUAACACAUAUUUUAAAACUAUAACCUCUCUCUAGGCAGUUUUAACUAUAUCAGAAUUUUAAAUUCAGAAUCACUAUAUAUUAAUGAUGAAUUUAAAGUUUCUAAAUUAUGGAAUAUUUCUUUGUAUUUCUACUUGCCUAAACAUUUACUGCAUGUGAUGUUAAUAGAACUUCAACUGUUUGCUUUGGUUAGUAUUUUCAUGCUAUACUUUAUAGUACAUAUUUGCAUUCUUUGACUUCUAGUCUUGCUUAUCCUUAUGUUUUAGAGUUUUUUUCUCUUGUCCAUACUGAGUGAUUGUAUAUUGUUCUUUCAGUUGUUAUUGUUGUUUGGACUACAAUGCAUAUCCCUUAACCAUUAGAAUUCUCCCCAGGC